Molecule: non-coding RNA, 653 nt
Organism: Macaca mulatta (Rhesus monkey)
Lineage: Eukaryota; Metazoa; Chordata; Mammalia; Primates; Cercopithecidae
Source: RefSeq, a predicted model, not a curated record
AACUAGCAAAAACACAACCACAAGUUAUGCCCGUGCUGUGCCUCUAGCAGCAAAGACAAGCGGUGUGGGGUUUUGGAUGAAUCUACACUUCUCGUCGGGGGAGAAAGGGAUUCCUGCGGAGCUGUAUUUACUUUACAUCCAUGUGAACUGCUGUCAUCACUACUGUGUCCAAGCCCAGAGGAUGAACUGGAAAAGAAGAGAGGGGGAAAAUAAUAAAAAGAGGAAAUUGGUUUUCACAACACACUCAAAGCCUGAGUAACAGAGGAGAACUUUAAUUAUCUCCAGUCACAAAGAGAGACAGGAAAUUUGGACUUUUAAUUAGCCAUUUGGAGUGCAGUUGGAUAUUUUUUUAGCUAGAUAAUUUAAACGCGAAUAAUUCAAGUCUGACUAAAUGAAAGUCACAUAAUCAGAAUGCAAAUAAUUGAAUUUCUACUGCAUUCAUUAAUUCAGUGUGGAGGUGUGUGUGAAGACUACUAUGAUGAGCUGUCACAGCUCAAUAAAAUCUCAGUCAAUUAAUUUUUUCAUUAUCUUAGUAUUACAUCAACAAAGAAGUGAAGUGUGUAUAUAUAUCUAUACACAUGCAUAUGUGCACUAUGUGUUACAUAAAUACAUAUACAUUAAAUCAAAAUGCAAGGAAAUACCUUUCUGAAUCA